UACGUAGGGUGCGAGCGUUAAUCGGAAUUACUGGGCGUAAAGGGCGCGUAGGCGGCCUGUUAAGUCGGACGUGAAAUCCCCGGGCUCAACCCGGGAACCUGCGUCCGAUACUGGCAGGCUUGAAUCCGGGAGAGGGAUGUGGAAUUCCAGGUGUAGCGGUGAAAUGCGUAGAUAUCGGGAGGAACACCAGUGGCGAAGGC
RNAcentral lists this ribosomal RNA (200 nucleotides) under uncultured bacterium. Its description in RNAcentral is "partial 16S ribosomal RNA". It matches the Rfam family "Bacterial small subunit ribosomal RNA", at positions 524 to 722 of the family's 1533-position model. The record is from RNAcentral.